GACGAACGCUGGCGGCGUGCCUAAUACAUGCAAGUCGAACGCAGAAGGAGGAGCUUGCUUCCCUGGAUGAGUUGCGCACGGGUGAGUAAAGCGUAGGUAUAAUGCCUGGUAGCGGGGGAGAAAUAUUGGAAAAGCUAGCUAAUACCCCGUAUGAGUAGAUGUUGCAUGUGAUUUACCUAAAAGAUACAAUCGUACCACUACCAGAUGGAGCUGCGUUGUAUUAGCUAGUUGGUGGGGUAACGGCUCACCAAGGCGACGAUGCGUAGCCGACCAGCGAGGGGGAUCGGCCACACUGGAACUGAGACACGGCCCAGACUCCUACGGGAGGCAGCAGUAGGGAAUCUUCCGCAAUGGACGAAAGCCUGACGGAGCAACGCCGCGUGAGUGAAGAAGGUGUCGGGUUGGUAAGCUCUGUUUAAAGGGAAGAACGAGUUUGGUAGUUGAAAGUGCACGCUGUGACGGUACCUUACCAGAAAGGGACGGCUAACUACGUG
RNAcentral lists this ribosomal RNA (494 nucleotides) under uncultured bacterium. RNAcentral's name for it is "partial 16S ribosomal RNA". It matches the Rfam family "Bacterial small subunit ribosomal RNA", at positions 28 to 507 of the family's 1533-position model. The record is from RNAcentral.